AAUAGAUACCCGGGUAGUCCACCCCGUAAACGUUGGGAACUAGUUGUGGGGUCCUUUCCACGGAUUCCGUGACGCAGCUAACGCAUUAAGUUCCCCGCCUGGGGAGUACGGCCGCAAGGCUAAAACUCAAAGGAAUUGACGGGGACCCGCACAAGCGGCGGAGCAUGCGGAUUAAUUCGAUGCAACGCGAAGAACCUUACCAAGGCUUGACAUACACGAGAACACCCUAGAAAUAGGGGACUCUUUGGACACUCGUGAACAGGUGGUGCAUGGUUGUCGUCAGCUCGUGUCGUGAGAUGUUGGGUUAAGUCCCGCAACGAGCGCAACCCUCGUUCUAUGUUGCCAGCACGUAAUGGUGGGAACUCAUGGGAUACUGCCGGGGUCAACUCGGAGGAAGGUGGGGAUGACGUCAAAUCAUCAUGCCCCUUAUGUCUUGGGCUUCACGCAUGCUACAAUGGCCGGUACAAAGGGCUGCAAUACCGUGAGGUGGAGCGAAUCCCAAAAAGCCGGUCCCAGUUCGGAUUGAGGUCUGCAACUCGACCUCA
RNAcentral lists this ribosomal RNA (545 nucleotides) under uncultured bacterium. RNAcentral's name for it is "bacterial SSU rRNA". It matches the Rfam family "Bacterial small subunit ribosomal RNA", at positions 777 to 1320 of the family's 1533-position model. The record is from RNAcentral.